GCACAACGCGAAGAACCUUACCUGGGCUUGACAUGGUAGUCGUAGACUUGUGAAAGCUUGUCGUCACUUCGGGUGGACUAUCACAGGUGCUGCAUGGCUGUCGUCAGCUCGUGUCGUGAGAUGUUGGGUUAAGUCCCCGUAACGAGCGCAACCCCUAUGAACUGUUGCCAGCGGGUAAUGCCGGGGACUCUGUUCAGACUGCCCAGAUUAACUGGGAGGAAGGAGGGGAUGACGUCAAGUCAGUAUGGCCCUUACGCCCAGGGCUGCACACGUGCUACAAUGUCCAGUACAAUAUGAACCGAUACCGCGAGGUGGAGGAAAUCUCAAAAACUGGGCUCAGUUCGGAUUGUAGGCUGCAACUCGCCUACAUGAAGUUGGAAUCGCUAGUAAUGGUGCAUCAGCUACGGCACCGUGAAUACGUUCCCGGGUCUUGUACACACCG
RNAcentral lists this ribosomal RNA (442 nucleotides) under uncultured bacterium. RNAcentral's name for it is "bacterial SSU rRNA". It matches the Rfam family "Bacterial small subunit ribosomal RNA", at positions 954 to 1392 of the family's 1533-position model. The record is from RNAcentral.